Molecule: transfer RNA, 74 nt
Filed under: Thermogladius calderae
Lineage: Archaea; Thermoproteati; Thermoproteota; Thermoprotei; Desulfurococcales; Desulfurococcaceae
Description: tRNA-Thr
Rfam family: tRNA
About the family: Transfer RNA (tRNA) molecules are approximately 80 nucleotides in length. Their secondary structure includes four short double-helical elements and three loops (D, anti-codon, and T loops).
Source: RNAcentral
GCCGCCGUAGCUCAGCCUGGUGGAGCGCCGGCCUUGUAAGCCGGUGGUCGCGGGUUCAAGUCCCGCCGGCGGCU